This 474-nucleotide ribosomal RNA is filed under the name uncultured bacterium. Its description in RNAcentral is "SSU rRNA". It matches the Rfam family "Bacterial small subunit ribosomal RNA", at positions 26 to 518 of the family's 1533-position model. The record is from RNAcentral.
AGGACGAACGCUGGCGGCGUGCUUAACACAUGCAAGUCGAGCGGAAAGGCCCUUCGGGGUACUCGAGCGGCGAACGGGUGAGUAACACGUGAGUAAUCUGCCCCUAGCUCUGGGAUAGCUCCGGGAAACCGGGAUUAAUACCGGAUACGACCACCUUAGACAUCUUUUGUGGUGGAAAGAAUUUCGGCCAGGGAUGAGCUCGCGGCCUAUCAGCUUGUUGGUGGGGUAACGGCCUACCAAGGCGACGACGGGUAGCCGGCCUGAGAGGGCGACCGGCCACACUGGGACUGAGACACGGCCCAGACUCCUACGGGAGGCAGCAGUGGGGAAUAUUGCGCAAUGGGCGAAAGCCUGACGCAGCGACGCCGCGUGGGGGAUGAAGGCCUUCGGGUUGUAAACCCCUUUCAGCAGGGACGAAGCGAAAGUGACGGUACCUGCAGAAGAAGCGCCGGCUAACUACGUGCCAGCAGCCGC